AGGGCUAUAGCGCAGUUGGUAGAGUAGCUCGUUUACACCGAAAAGGUCAUCGGUUCGAGUCCGUAUAGCCCUA
Molecule: transfer RNA, 73 nt
Filed under: Opuntia quimilo
Lineage: Eukaryota; Viridiplantae; Streptophyta; Magnoliopsida; Caryophyllales; Cactaceae
Also listed under: 31 other names
Description: tRNA-Val
Rfam family: tRNA
About the family: Transfer RNA (tRNA) molecules are approximately 80 nucleotides in length. Their secondary structure includes four short double-helical elements and three loops (D, anti-codon, and T loops).
Source: RNAcentral